GAGCCACCAGGGAAAUAAUUAAUGAGUUAAAAGCACUAAAUAUAUGUUUAACUUAUGUUUGUGUGAAAGUUAUGCUUUUACCUAUUAAAAAAAUUUUCCUUUAACACAAGUGUUUGUUACUUUUAUAAUUCAGGUAAAGCCUAGAAACAUUAUGAAAGUAUGCCAGAGACUCCCCAGAGAUCUAACUCAGAUCUUCAGGGAGGUCUCCCUUCCAGUUGGGCAAUGUUGAUUCCCCGAUGAGCACGAAGCCAAACUUCACACAUCAGCCAAGCAUGGACACCCCAAGAACCCACCCCAGCCUUUCCCAGGGACUCUGUGCCUCAGAGCACGUGGCACUUAUUUAUCAGGUGUGAAUCUUGGUGCUGAGUAUUGAAGUGACCAGCAUUAUUUCAGCAAAUUGUUCCACAGUAGCUCUCUAUAGUAUAGAUACUAUUACCACCAAGUCCCAGUCAAUCCUAAAGGAAAUCAGCUCAUUUCCUUGUAUUCACUGGAAGGACUGAUGUUGAUACUUUGGCCACCUGACGUGAAGAGCUGACUCAUUGGAAAAGACCCUGAUGCUGGGAUAGAUUGAGAGCCCGAGGAGAAGGGGUGACAGAGGAUGAGAUAAUUGGAUGGCAUCUUGAUUCAAUAGACAUGAGUUUGAGCAAACUCUGGGAGACAGUGAAGAACAGGAAAGCCUGGCGUGCUGCAGUCCAUGGGAUCUCAAAGAGCCAGACACAACUGAGCAAUUGAACAACAACAGUUAAAGAAACAGACCGAGGACGUUUCCAGUUUACCUAAGACCAGAGGUCGAUCAACAGCCACGAAGAGCAAGCCCAGGCCUCCCUAUGCCUGAGCGCCGGCUCUUAUCUACAUUGCUGCUGCUGCUGCUGCUGCUGCUAAGUCGCUUCAGUCGUGUCCGACCCUGUGCGACCCCAUAGACGGCAGCCCACCAGGCUCCCCCGUUCCUGGGAUUCUCCAGACAAGACCACUGGAGUGGGCUGCCAUUUCCUUUUCCAAUGCAUGAAAGUGAAAAGUGAAAGGGAAAUCGCUCGGUCGUGCCCGACUCUUAGUGUGGGGUGCCAUCGCCUUCUCUGCUUAUCUACAUUACUAUCUC
Molecule: long non-coding RNA, 1096 nt
Filed under: Bos indicus x Bos taurus (hybrid cattle)
Lineage: Eukaryota; Metazoa; Chordata; Mammalia; Artiodactyla; Bovidae
Description: lncRNA (ENSBIXG00000020796.1)
Source: RNAcentral